UUCAGGGCUAUCUCUUCUGCUUUAUUCUGAUCUAUUUUUGUAUCACUUUGCUAGCGCCACAGCAUCUUGAUCACAAUAGCUUUACAGAACUCCUGAGGUUUUGUUAAUUUUAACUCUGCAAUUUUGUUCUUCAGUACUAUGCUUUUUAGAGUUUGUUGAUUGUUUUAAAAAUUUUAUAACAUUUGGAGAUAUGACUUUUCCACUCUAUCUCUUUUUAUGUGACAAAUCAAAAUGCAUAUUACCUUUAAUUGUGAUAUUUUAUAUACAAAUGUCUUGAAAGUCUUUGGAUGUAAGCCUUCUUCUCUAAAUCUCUUUAACUCAUGUCUCAUUAGCUUAAAAUCUCUUGAGUUUACUUUAUUUUUCCUACUGGGAUGACUAUGCACACAUUGCUGUUUUUAAAUAAUUUUUAUAAGUUUUUAAUGCCCCAGUUAGAUCAUCUGUAAGAGCCACAGGUUUUGGUUUAAAGACUUCUUUAUAUGGCUGGGGAAGACGAAUUUCCCAGAGUUACAAGGUGUGGUUUUUGGCACGUUCAGUAAAAAACAAAACAAUAGUAAAAAGGAAUUUCUAAGAACAUUCUCCUGCCUAUGAGUAAUCCCAAUUUAUUUCCUGCUUGGCCUGUCUAAAAGGAAUUGAUGCUCCUGGGAAUCUCCCCGGAUUUCGCUGUACCCUGAGGGGGUGGUGCAGUUUGUGAGGAGAGCUGAAAGGAGGAGAUGAGCUUGGGUAUUACGGAGGAAGAAAUUGACAGGUUUGUGACGGAGGCCCAUUUUCCCUUUUCCUGCCGUCCUGCGAAGGUUAUGGGACCCAGGAAUGUGACUGGGGAAAUCCGCUAGGCUACAAAAUGUCAUUACCAGUGGUUAAACACAUGCUUGUCUCGAAUAGAGUUUUAUAGGGUACUGCUACAACUGUUAUAAGAAAGAAAAUGUUAAAUUGUCCAUUUUGUGAUUGAUACUUACUUUUAAGUCAGUGUUUCUAAUCUUAUUAAAAAAUCCUUUGGGAAUCUCCUGGCAGCUAUGAUUGAGUCCCUAGAAAAAUACAAUUACACACAAUUUGGCUUACAAUUUUGAGGGAUUCAAGCAAUCUCUGUACUUCCAAAUGGGAACCCACGCUUUAAAAUCCUACUUGAGAACUUACAUUUUGAAAGGCAUGUCUUAUCUGUAUAAAUGCUGCUAAGUCUUAUUUCAUAGAUGUGUACUCUGUUAACCAUGACAGUUUGUUUCAAUGUCAUAAAUCCAGAAUCAGCAAACUAUGACCUAGGUCCUAAGGUGAUCCACCAGCUGAUUUUAUAAAUAAGGUUUUAUGGCCACACCAUUUGCCCAUGCAUUACCCCUGGCUGCUUUCUUGCCACAAAAGGAAAGUUGAAUAGUUGCAGGGGAGAUUGCAUGGUCUGCAAAACUGAAAACAUUUACUUUUUGGACGUUUUUAGAAAAAGCUGGCUGACCCCGGCUAUAAAAAUGAAAUUUGAGAAAAUGGAUGUUAUGCCUUUGUAUUUUAUGCCUUCCAAUAAUUACCUAUAUUUGAGAGAUUCUCAAAAUCAUGUGACCUUGACAUUUCUGCAGGAGGAUGCUCUAUGGUGCUUUUCCUGUUUUCCCAGAGUUUGGUUGAAGUCUCCAAGCUGAAGAUGAUUUGUGCUCCCUCUCCAUAUUAUGCAGAGAAAUACAAAACUCAUGCUUACAGCACUUGCAAAAAUAUAACCAUCUGCUGGCCUGGCAUCUGACCCACACUCAAACUUCAGUGACAAACACAGAGAGCAGAGGCAUCAACCGAGGAUGGAUACAAGUGUGGCAUCAGCAGGGAAUAUACUCUGUUCCUGGCUAGGUUGACUGCUUCAUGGAAACAAACUAAGUGGGGUCUGCUUCCCUCUGCAAAAUGGCCAGGAAGCCUCCCUUGUUGAGGGGUGAUGAGACACUGUGAGUCUUUGCAUUAAAAAAAUUAAUGUGUAUUUUAUUUAUUAA
Sapajus apella (tufted capuchin) is the source of this 1952-nucleotide long non-coding RNA. RefSeq lists it as uncharacterized. NCBI's taxonomy places the organism in Eukaryota, Metazoa, Chordata, Mammalia, Primates, Cebidae. The transcript is spliced from 2 exons. The record is from RefSeq and is a predicted model, not a curated record.